Molecule: long non-coding RNA, 9315 nt
Organism: Bombus pyrosoma
Lineage: Eukaryota; Metazoa; Arthropoda; Insecta; Hymenoptera; Apidae
Exons: 5
Source: RefSeq, a predicted model, not a curated record
UACGAUCUAGAAUAAUGAGCAUUAUUCAAAAGAGUUGUUACAAACAUAUAUCGAAUUCGAUCAUUGAAAUUGCUUAAAAAUGGAUAUAGAUACUUCUGUAUUCAGUGGUUCACAAAAGUAUUUUAAUAUUUACUACAGCAAAAUUGUGUGUUUCCAUAUGAGACGUGAUUAUUGUGGUUAUGCUAAUCAAAUUUGGAAUUAAUCUUAUUAAGACUUAUGAAUAAGGUUUAAAACUAUAACUUAAAACGAAGAAUAAAUCCCUCCUUAUCCCCCCACAGUUCUACAAUGAGACUUAAAAUUAAGAGGUAGAUUCAAAUUAACAAAUAAGAAAGUAGAUCUUAGAACUAAAACCUACUUAGAAGUAACGCUAAACUAAUAGUAGAUACCAAGUAGAUACUAAUCUACUUGGGACGAAAUUUCAAAAAUGGAACUAUAGAUAUUCUGUUAAAUCAAUUGUUCCAUUUAGUAAUUUAAUAUUUAAACGAAUUACAUAAAGGAACUUCUAACUUUUCACUCUAAGUGAAAUAACGUAUCUUUGUACAAAAAGUGUGCACAAUGUAUCCCAUGGCAAGUGCUGAUAAUAUAAUACGAUAUAAACGUCUAUUUUAAUUUUAAUUAAAAUUAAGAAGUACGCAUUCCACAUUGCUUGUCUAAACUGAGAGUUAAAAUAAGACUUUAAAAAAACUUAAAAAUAAGCGUACUCCACGCACCAUCUAUCUCUCACAGAACGAUUACAUAGAUCUUUACGAACUGUCGUCUAGUUAUCGCAAAGGCAAGGGAGUCUUUAGAUUUCUAUAUUAUCGAUCGAGAUAAUACCGAUCAAUCGGUUCUUCUCAAUGCUGCUUCACCAUUCGCGCAACACCGAGUUUUAUCAGAUUUCUUACCGAUCGGUAAUGUUCAAAACAUUUCGAUACAAAAUUCAGGGAUUUGUUUUACCAACUUUAAUACUCUCAACUAGCAUUUAAUAGUCAGCAUACAUAUAAAUCAACAACAUUACAUAGUACUUAAUAGUAUAACAUUAUAUAACAACAUCUUAUAAUAUGUUAUUCUACAAUAACAUUAUAAUAUUACAUCUUCUAUACUUAACAGUAAACGAAAUGGACAGUUCAUUAUCUAAUGGAAUAUUAUCUCUCCUUACUGCGUAUUCAAAUAAUUUCGAAUUGGAAAAUCUCUUAUAGUAUUAAAAAGGGAGAAAAAGCUACUACUUGGAAAAAUUAGAAAAUCAUUCUAAUAGACUACCGUUUAAAGCGAUGCAUAUAUUCAAUUACAUAGUUUUCAAUUUUAUUUUCAAUUUCAUACACUAGAACGAUUGCAAAGUUUUGAACGGCACUGUAUAUUUGAACAUUUUUCAUGGAAAAAAGGAAGACUGAAUUUUAUAUAUAAAGACACAAAUUACAAAUAAGACUAUAUCUUUACAUGAUAUUAUUCCGAAACACUUCCACCGAGCAAAAGCAUAUGUAGGUCCCAGAACGGGCAAAUUGAGCAAUUUCGAUGCCAAAUCGAUAAUGAACCCAUUGAUGUAUCUUAUUUUUCCGUAGCAUCGUUUAUAUCCGAUAAAGCGCGUCUUUUUUUGGCAACGACCGCUUUUUCUUUACUUCUUUUAAUCCUGGUUGUCUGGAGUUUUUUAGAAUCACCUCUCACCACGGGUGGUGCCGGAGACUAACACAAGCAACGCUUUUGAUAAAAUGCACCCUAAUGCGUAUCGCUCGUAAAUUCUCGAUUAAAGAAAAUGAACACUGCUGGACGUCUUGAUGUAAAGAGCUCAAGAUAGAAAUAUUUUCUCUCGGUAUUGCCGCUAUUGCUUUAUUAAAAAUACAAAUUUCUGAAAUUUUAUUAAAAAUACUACAGUUUUAUCUUAUUGAUAUUUUCCAGUUUAUCAAGUCCAACGCUGUUUUUGGUAGAUCCACAUAGUAUUUAGUAAUUCCAAGUCCAAAGAAUUGAAAUUAAAAUACGUAUCCGUAUUAAACUUUCUAUUUAUUAAAGAAUAGCAGCGUAAUAAGAGAAUUUCUAGUAUAAGUUUACCGAAUGACAAAGUCUAAGAAUUAUCUGUGUACCAUUUCUGCUUUUUGCACGAUUUGAAAGUACAAAAAAUAUUAAAAUAAUUUCUAUUCAGUCACGAGUACACAGCUGUUCUCACCUUAUAUACAAAUCUCUAAUUUUCCCUAUUUGACGACCGAGAAUAACGAUAACACGCACAGUGUGUCCUGUUUAAACAACUUCCCUAUACUCGUUAAUCAUGUUAGCCAACCGUAAAUAAAUAGACUCUUAGGUAACUUGGAAUUUUUCGAAAUCCAAUGUAUCACCCUGUUGCAUCUCACAACGUUCCUGCAAUACCAUCGAGCAACAUCAUUAAAGCUAAAGAUUCCGCUUGCAACAGGACAUUCUUAGCGGUUAACGUUGUUGAACAAACGUCGGACUAGUCUCGUAACAAAUGGUCGGUUGUCAUGUGGUGACAAUAGCAGCGGUGACAUUCGGCUGGUUAGAAAGAGAAUCGAACGGGCAUCCUAUGCAUCUGGAUGCCGGUUGCAGUUACCGUGGACUAUGGUUUCGCAAUGGUUCGCGGAAGGUCGCCGACGUAAAGGAUUGUCUGCUGCUCUAGGCCGUUGAAACGCAGGUGUUUUCCGACAUGAACGUCGCGACAAGGCUGCCCACGAUGCCUACGAAUGUAUAUCCGGUUGUACCGCGUGCUGCUGCGAUUUGCCUUUCGCAAGGCCGUUUUUCCAGCCUAGCGCUAGCAGCUCCGCUAUAGAAAGUGACGAUUCCUAUGGUUUCUCGAAGAGAUGUAGCCAGAUGCAUACGCACGUCCGAUCGGUAUCUCAGGCUCAGAUUCUCCCUGGCGCCGGCUCUGUUUUGGUUUAGACUCUGCAAUACCAUUCUUUUCUUUCAUCGCGAACGGUCUGCUACGGAAAGUGACGAUUCGUACGGUUGAUCGGAUGUACAGUGGAGGAUAAAAGGAUGUUUAUGGAACGAGAAGCGUGAAGAGAUAUGAUCUUACAAAAUGGAUUUAUAUUUAAUAGAGCAACGAAUAAAUAUAAUUCACUGUUACCAAUAUGUUGCCAGUGGUACGAAUGGGUCGAUGCAACAGAAACGUUUAAUUAAAAAUGAAAAUGAGAAAUGAAAGGAAACGACCAUUCGUCGUAUAAUUAAGUAGUAGACUAUUAAGACGGUAAACUAUCAAAGAUCAAGUUGCGAAACGACGCAUAGAAAUUGGGUGAGUGUAACAUUGUAGCAAAUAAUUUUGUAUAAAUAAUACAAGGUACGUUUUAACGAAUACCCUUAGUACUGUAUAUAUUCUUAUUCUCAUACGUCGUAUUAGUGUUUUUUAAUCGUCAAAAAAAUAUAAAUAAAUAUAAAUAAUUCUACUUUAUAUGUUUCUUUAGAUUUUUUGUAUUUCUAAUUUUCCAACAACUACAUAAAUAUCUACUAAUGAAGCGAGAAAGUUGCGAGAGCAGAUUGGAUUAACGGAGACGCAUAUGUUGCGUCACACGAAACAUCAUUUUCUUUCUUUUUUUUUUUGCGUGAUUCAGUGUUCGUAGAGUUGUUUGCUUUCAAAUUUGAUUAAUUAACCUUCUAAGCAGUCGUUCUCUACAGUUUAUAUACACAGUGGCAUCGUUAAACAAGAUGAUUCACUGAAUAUGACGGAAACGUGUAGCUCGUCAUUAUCUUCUUUGAUACACUCUGUGAUAAGGAAGGUCCUUGAUUGUCUUGAACCGCUAGAUAUAUCUUCAUAAAAGAAAAUGAUAAAAGCUUUGAUUGUAACAAGAAAAGAAAAAGAAAAUGGAAAAAGUGAAUGGAACAGCUGAUAUAGUUUGCAGUAAUAGAGGUGUCAUAGAUUCGUGGCAAUCGUAUGAAUUAUAGUCACUAAGUAAGUCUGACAAUGAAUGUACAUCUUCUACUUUGUUGCUGCAUUACGUACAAUCCUAUUUCUUCUGGUCGAAAGAAGGUGCUUACGUAAAGUUUCAACAGAACGAAAUGAUUCAUUAGUAACACGUAAUUUUUUAUUAUCUUUCUUAAAGCGUACGAUUUUCUAUUGUUUCCUUAAUGGUAGAUUUAUGUUUGCAAUCAUUGAGCGAAGUAAUCGUUUAAUUCAAUCCACAGCAUAAAUCUAAUCAAAUUAAUCUCUCGACAUAUAAUGGCACAUACGUGUAAGCUUAAUUUUUCUUUCGCGCAAUCGCAAUGUCAACGAACGUCUUCGUGAACAACUGUUUUCUACAUGAAAUCAUCAGAAAAUUCAUUGUAGAUGAAGUUUUAAGAUGUUCUUCGAUAUAAAAUCCUGCAUACCAAUAAGACGGAUAUUUCUCGAUAUUUUGUUCAAACAAUGAAGAUAUUUGUCAACGAGAGAAAAAUGUAACUGGAUGGAAACUUCGUGAAAGAACGUGACAAUUUAAACAAAAGAGAAGAAGGAGAAGUAAAAACGAAACGGAAAUUUCAAACUAGUUUCAACGAUACAUUUCUCUUAGACGCCACUUCAAAGUGCACCCCGUAGAUUUUCGACAAAUAAGCAUUCGUAUGCGAGAUCACGUCCUCGAGACGUUUCGUUCGCCGUAACAUAGAAAUCACCGCGUUUCGUUUCGCGAAUUCGGUAUUCCUGUGUCACUGUCACUUGACGAAAUUUCGCGGGCAACCUUCGUAGCCGCGUACUUUCCCGCCUUUUUGUCGCAAUCCACGCGCCUUCGUCUCUCGCUUUGACAAGCGAGAAGAUCGAAACUGUGUCCUUUUUUCUCGAUCAGUCACCAGUUUUGUUACGCAGCCAGUGUAUUCGAGUAAAAUUCUGAUUCGCCAAUAGUCGCGGAUAAACUUUGGAAUAUUCAACGUUAAAAGACAUAGACUGGGUCGUACGAUCCUAAAAUUUCCAAUUCUUAUCCGUUGAGUUUCCUGAAUAAUAAUAUAUGAUAAUAAGUGAGCAAAUAGUAAAACAUAAUUAGAUAUUAUAGCAGAGAAUCGUGAUACAUUACCAUAAAUAAUUUAGGGUAAUAGAUGGACCAAGAGGUAGCCUCGGAAGAACGGAGGAAGAAACGGUAGAUCGUCUGAAGGAUUUAGAGGAGAAAAAGAAAGAGAAACAGGAGUGAAGACUGAUAGUACUUGACGUAGCUGAAAAAGAAGUAGAAUAGGACUGGUCCUGGUCAGCCAACAAUGUUGAUGCAGUCAAGUAGCCAAGUCGAUCUUCUGCGAGUUCCUACAAGAAACAAGUUUGAAGUGGAUACAAUUAUUGAAUCUAGAAAGUAGUAUUAAUUUAUUUGCUUAAACAGCCUCUUAAUAUGUUUUCGUCGGAGUUGCAGAAUUAUUAAUAGAAAAGUACUGUAAUAUAGGAGAAUUCAAUUAACGAGACGUUGCUUCGUAAUCUCAUUCUGGUGAACAGUCAGUUGUCGUAUUGUGGCAAUUAUUCAGACGUUAUGGUUACACGAUAUAGGAAUAAAGUUCAAGAAAGGAAACCGCCCCUUUUCUCUCAAAAUUCGCGAAAUUUCUAAUUCCUUUUAUAAUCUGAGCCGGAAGCACCGAUGACAAAAGAAUUCAUAAAAAGGAGAAACUUUUGCUGAAGACAAACCACGAUGAGCAAACAUAACCGAAGAGUACAAGGAAGAUGCUCGUCGUUCUCCUUUUAAAGCUAUUUAUUUUUCAAUCUAAAAAUUGAUCUGCCUAAAAAAUUGCUCGAAACCUGAUGAACUUCAGUUCCUUGAGCGACUGCAAAUUACACUUCCUGCGAUCCUUGUAACAUUGUUGCUCGAGGGCGCAACACGCUAUACUUUAUGUUUAUACGAAAGAUUUCACUUUUUAUUUGUGAAAUCGGCCAUUUCAUAUUCGACUUAAUAACAAAAAUUGGCAAAUCGGCGCGAGUGUUUCGCAAAAAUCGCGUAUCGGACGAAGAAGUCGAAGGUUCGAAGGAUAAUAUCUCCGCCCACAUUCCCCUGGCUUUUCGAUCUGUAUUUCGAUUAAUCUACAGUCCGAACUCGACCGACCGGCGACGCUAAUCGCGACUUUCACCUUUCCGCGUAAUCGCGAAUCAACGGCUGCCUUGUUUACAACCGUUGGAAAUGAACGCGGUGCCAAAUAAAUCCCGCUCCGAUUUCCCAUCAGGAAGCAAUCUGCAUCCACUGAUUAUCAUCGCAGGGAUUUGCAAUCGCGAAAGUUUCUCUCUAAAUCUCCAAACGAGAGAAAUACAACCUGUAAUACGCGAGCACGAUUUUUUACCACGUCCACUGCCACGAUGGUCAUAGGUGACCCACCUUACAUUCACAAUGAUGAAAAUAAGAUAAAUUUCGUCGACUAGUAACUUUUCCAUGAUGCGGAUGGUUUAGAUUUAACGUGCAGAUUGUCGGAGGAACAGUGUGCACAUUAAACGUUGCAAUGCAAUUAUAGUGUGGGACAAAGUGUGUCAAAUUAACGUUAACGUGUUGCUGAAAGCUUAAUUCUUUUUAGCAAAAUUAUAAGCAAAUUAUAGCAAAGUAGAACUAUCUGAAGACGAUCCGAGUAGUCGUGUAAGCUUCUCAAAAUCUUGAAAUUCUAUGUUGAGCUUCGCGCAGAAUAAUCAAACUCAUAUUUCAUCGAUCAUCAUGAAUAAUCAAAAUCAUAUUUUUAUUAUAUAAUUUUUUAGUAUUUCAUAGGUAAUGUUAAUAAAAUCGUGUAAAUAGCACAUGUAUUAGCAGCGAAAAUAUCGGGCCAUCCCAUAAGUAAUACAGCUUUUUUUAAGAAUUCUAUUCAGAACAAUGGAAGCUGUCAUCGGAGUUAUCAAAAAUUGGAAUGGAAAACUUAAUAGGAAAGAUAGGAAACGAAUUGCAAACAGUACGAGAAAAUUCAUCACCGAUCGAUUAUCAAUAGAUAACUUUUUAUCCUAUUAAUAUUAUAAACGCUUCGAGUCGAAAGAUGAUUUUCCUCGAUUCAAUUUCGCCCAGAGCAGAACGAAGCUUGGUUCUGCCGGGUCGGUUCGUUUCAUAAUCGAUCUAACUACGUUAGAGGAUGUACGGUGGUGCACGAUGUGUCUAUAAACUAUGUUAAACGUGUAAGCUCGCUUGGAGAACCGCUCUCACUUUUUUCUCUUUCUCUCUCACGAUCUUGGUCUCGCUCGCCGGAUCUCUUGGCCUUUAUUUACCCGUCGUCGUCGUCGUCGUCGUCUUCGUCGUCGUCGUCGUUGUUGUUGUUCGCUUCUUUCCGUACUCUGGCGAUUUAAAACGAGAGAAAAAGAGAGAAAGAGAGAGAGAAAGAAGAAGGAAGGCAAAAGAGAGUGCCACGGCGAGGCAGCAGCCAGCCUAGGCGUGAGUCAUCGUGAGAGACAAGAUCUCGAGUAAGGAGGCGGCCUUGAUGCCGCAAAACUGUUCGUAAUAUCGAUACGGGUCCAUGGAUCGCUGGCUUCGAUCGUCGUCAUGCCGUGGCAAUAUCGCUGCUCUGUUAAUCCAUGCCGCCCCGGACACCUCGUCUAGAGAACCUCUUCACACAAUCUUCAAUAAGCUUCAAUAGGGAUAUCGUUUAUAAUCGUUUCGAUCGUGUAGAAAUUCGCUUGCUCGACGUAAAUUAGAGGCAUUUUAGACACAUGGAAGGUAAUUUUGAAAACACGUCGAGCUAUAAACGAUCUAGCUAAAUCUAAUACAAAUCAUCGUUAUCCUAUGAAAGGAUGCUUCGAAACAAUCUAUAGAACAGAUAUCUGCUAUGAAUCAUAAUAGGUACUCGAAGCUAAUGCUAAUCCAAAUUGCUAAUGAAUACGUACGUAAUAGGUAACGAAUAAACACAAACACAUUGUGUAAUCGUAGUAUAUCAAAGAAACCAAGUAGAUAUUGGAAUUUUCUGAAACUGCUGUAUCAUAAUACGUAUCCAAAUCUGGACCCAAGCUGAAUCCAAACAGGUAUUGAAACAACCUAUAGAACAAACAUUUGUCAAAUACCAUGAUACAUAGGCAAACCUAUGCCAAGCCAUAGAUCUUAGGAAAUAAAGGAAAACGACUUACAAAACGAAUCUAUAAACUAUAAUACAUAUGUGUCCAAGUCGAAGUCAUGGUAAUAUCAAAUAACGCUUCAAAACACCCCAUAGAACAAACAUCUGCUAGAAACCAUAAUACGUAGCCAAACCUAUCCCAAACUAUCGUCUUACCAAAUAACGCUCGGGAACAAACAGUGCAAGGAAUAUCUAUAAAUUAUGAUACGUAUGUGUCCAAACCUCAGCCAAACUAUCAUAAUAUCAAGUAACGUUUCAAAACACUCUAUAGAGCAAACAUCUGCUAAAAACCAUAAUACGUAGCCCAACUACGUAUCCCAAACUAUCGUCUUACCAGAUAACGCUUCGGAACAACCUGUGCAACGAAUGUCCAUAAACUACAAUACGUAUGCAUUCAAACCUAAGUCCUCGUCAUAUCAAAUAACGCUUCGGAACACCCCAUAGAACAAACAUCUAGAAACCAUAGUACCCUAUGAACUAACGUAUUUUGAAAUCGCAGCUCACCAAAAAGGAGCCAGAUAGUGGGACAUACUGGUGUCUACUAUUUGCUGGUACGAAGACUAUUUGCCGGCGUUUCGCCUCAUUUGUCGCGAUGCGCCAGGGUUCACGGAUUGUAAUGGCACUCGACUCAGCCACCAAGAGCCUUAAAGCGAGUGCCAAUUAUCGCUGCUCCGUCUUGACGAACGUUCAUCCCCUCCACCUCGCCCCUCUGACUCGUUUCUUUUAUUUCGAUUUUAACGGUAUACGUGGCCGCGAAGGUAGCUCGCCGCGGUCUCCGUGUAUCCAUUAAUCGAGCGGAAUGCGAAAAGUCAUGCUUCGGGAAAAGGGAGGCGGCGGUUUCUUAAAAUACACUCGGGUAAUUGAAGGGCACCGAUAUCGCAAGAAACCAGAGCCGCCUUCUUUCCAUCGUUUUUUCCUUUCUUUCUCUCUCUCUCUCUCUCUCUCUCUCUCUCUUUUGCUCUUUCUUCUUCUUCUGGCUCUCUUUAUGCUAUCGCGAUCGUUAGCCGCAGGAAAAACCAUCGGAGACUUUCUGAUGCUGAGUCGACCGUGAGAUUUUCUAAAGGGGAUUCCACGUUGUACAGGAUUUGUCAAAGAGACGCGGAACACCUUAACGAUUUCUAGGAAUCAAAUCGAUUGUUCGAACAUUUCUUAAUUAGUAAAUGAAAUAUCGUAUCUUAUAGCUUUCGUUUGAUUUAUUUUCAUGAAGCUUCCUCUUGGGAACAGGUUGGAUUUCCAGUUACACUUCUCUUUGGUUUACGUAUCGUUUGGUGUACUUCUCCAAUCACUGAGCUUAAUGUCCCUCGUACUUCAUAUUUAGACUUAAAACAAUUGCAACUUACGCUUAACUUGGAAACGUACCUCUUAUAUUCCUCAUUCUCUAUGUCUUUACUG